GCAAGUCGAGCGGAAACGAUGAUAACUUGCUAUCAGGCGUCGAGCGGCGGACGGGUGAGUAACGCGUAGGAAUCUGCCUAGUAGUGGGGGACAACAUGUGGAAACGCAUGCUAAUACCGCAUACGCCCUACGGGGGAAAGGAGGGGAUCUUCGGACCUUUCGCUAUUAGAUGAGCCUGCGUGAGAUUAGCUAGUUGGUGGGGUAAAGGCUCACCAAGGCGACGAUCUCUAGCUGGUCUGAGAGGAUGAUCAGCCACACUGGGACUGAGACACGGCCCAGACUCCUACGGGAGGCAGCAGUGGGGAAUAUUGGACAAUGGGGGGAACCCUGAUCCAGCCAUGCCGCGUGUGUGAAGAAGGCCUUAGGGUUGUAAAGCACUUUCAGGAGUGAGGAAGGGUGUGCCGUUAAUACCGGUAUAUUUUGACGUUAACUCCAGAAGAAGCACCGGCUAACUCUGUGCCAGCAGUCGCGGUAAUACAGAGGGUGCAAGCGUUAAUCGGAAUUACUGGGCGUAAAGCGCGCGUACGUGGUUUGUUAAGUCGGAUGUGAAAUCCC
RNAcentral lists this ribosomal RNA (555 nucleotides) under uncultured bacterium. Its description in RNAcentral is "bacterial SSU rRNA". It matches the Rfam family "Bacterial small subunit ribosomal RNA", at positions 57 to 603 of the family's 1533-position model. The record is from RNAcentral.